RNAcentral lists this ribosomal RNA (231 nucleotides) under uncultured bacterium. RNAcentral describes it as "partial 16S ribosomal RNA". It matches the Rfam family "Bacterial small subunit ribosomal RNA", at positions 546 to 776 of the family's 1533-position model. The record is from RNAcentral.
CGGAAUUACUGGGCGUAAAGCGCGCGUAGGCGGCUUUGCAAGCCGGAUGUGAAAUCCCCGGGCUUAACCUGGGAACUGCAUUCGGGACUGCAUUGCUAGAGUAUGGGAGAGGGAAGUGGAAUUUCAGGUGUAGCGGUGAAAUGCGUAGAUAUCUGAAGGAACAUCAGUGGCGAAAGCGACUUCCUGGACCAAUACUGACGCUCAUGUGCGAAAGCGUGGGGAGCAAACAGG